RNAcentral lists this ribosomal RNA (468 nucleotides) under uncultured bacterium. RNAcentral describes it as "partial 16S ribosomal RNA". It matches the Rfam family "Bacterial small subunit ribosomal RNA", at positions 28 to 507 of the family's 1533-position model. The record is from RNAcentral.
GACGAACGCUGGCGGCGUGCUUAACACAUGCAAGUCGAACGGAAAGGCCCUGCUUUUGUGGGGUGCUCGAGUGGCGAACGGGUGAGUAACACGUGAGUAACCUGCCCUUGACUUUGGGAUAACUUCAGGAAACUGGGGCUAAUACCGGAUAGGAGCUCCUGCUGCAUGGUGGGGGUUGGAAAGUUUCGGCGGUUGGGGAUGGACUCGCGGCUUAUCAGCUUGUUGGUGGGGUAGUGGCUUACCAAGGCUUUGACGGGUAGCCGGCCUGAGAGGGUGACCGGCCACAUUGGGACUGAGAUACGGACCAGACGGCUACGGGAGGCAGAAGGGGGGAAUAUUGCACAAUGGGCGGAAGCCAGAUGCAGCAACGCCGCGUGCGGGAUGACGGCCUUCGGGUUGUAAACCGCUUUCGCCUGUGACGAAGCGUGAGUGACGGUAAUGGGUAAAGAAGCACCGGCUAACUACGUG